UACGUAGGUGGCGAGCGUUGUCCGGAUUUACUGGGCGUAAAGAGCGCGCAGGCGGUCGAUCAAGUCGGAUGUGAAAGCCCCCGGCUCAACUGGGGAGGGUCAUUCGAUACUGGUCGACUCGAAGGCAGGAGAGGGAAGCGGAAUUCCCGGUGUAGUGGUGAAAUGCGUAGAUAUCGGGAGGAACACCAGUGGCGAAGGCGGCUUCCUGGCCUGUUCUUGACGCUGAGGCGCGAAAGCUAGGGGAGCAAACGGG
RNAcentral lists this ribosomal RNA (253 nucleotides) under uncultured bacterium. Its description in RNAcentral is "partial 16S ribosomal RNA". It matches the Rfam family "Bacterial small subunit ribosomal RNA", at positions 524 to 776 of the family's 1533-position model. The record is from RNAcentral.